CUCAUUUUUAAGCGAAAGAGAAACAGGAAGGGUCCUCUUUUCCCCUCAGCUCCUGCUCCAGCGGCACAAUGUGAUCCACCAGCUAGGAGGGACGCCAAUAAGGCGUCCGAUAAGAUAAGUCUUAUAAAAUAUAUAGAUGUAUGAUAAUUGAGACUGAGCUAACAGAUGAGAAUCCUAGUCAUUGGCCAAGCAGCAAUGUAACUAAUACAAGUCUGUGUAUUCAUUUGGGCCUAACUCAGGCGGGCGGCUGGCAUAAAGCUCACACGUGGCAGUGGGGCUCAGGCGGCAUUUGGCGGAAAGAUUUAUCAUAACAUCUAUGUACCUACUUAUCUAUCAUCGCUAUAUAUAUAUAUCAUCUAUAUCAUCUAUCUAUCUACCUAUCUAUGUCUAUCUAUCUAUCCAUGUCUAUCUAUCUAUCUAUCUAUCUAUCUAUCUAUCUAUCUAUCUAUCUGCUUUUGAGAUGUAGAAGAGAGGGGAGAAGAGAAAAGCACAAGAGAGCUGCUUGGGGACCAAACCAGGAGAUGGCCACCAUUGUGUCAUCUGCAAGCGUGGGGCAUCGUGUGAUCUCCUCUACAGUGCAUUGCAAACCCUUUAGGGGCUACCCUUUGUCUGCUCCCUGUGAAACACCCCCGCCCCAGCCUGCUGUCUAUCAGAUGACAAGGCUGCAUCGAGUCUCAUCUGACAAGCUAUUGUCAGGCAGAUGUCUUCAUUAA
Molecule: long non-coding RNA, 713 nt
Filed under: Cricetulus griseus (Chinese hamster)
Lineage: Eukaryota; Metazoa; Chordata; Mammalia; Rodentia; Cricetidae
Description: lncRNA (ENSCGRG00000025759.1)
Source: RNAcentral